This is a long non-coding RNA of Molossus molossus (Pallas's mastiff bat), 259 nucleotides long. RefSeq lists it as uncharacterized. The transcript has 3 exons. Lineage: Eukaryota; Metazoa; Chordata; Mammalia; Chiroptera; Molossidae. The record is from RefSeq and is a predicted model, not a curated record.
UGGCAGCUCAGCCUCGCUCCUCUCUCUUCUCCUCAGGCAUUUUUUGGAGAGUUUUCCCAUGAGGGAAGUGCUUCAGAGGGGAAACAUGUCAGGUGUGCAUCCUGACACGGCUCCCCUGACUUCUGUGAGCUGCUCUAGCAAACGAAUCAAACCCACGAAGCCGGAUGUUGGAACUCCAAUCUAUAGCCAGUGGGCCAGACACACAGACCAUCAUUCAGACGGUGCAGAAGAAUGAUCCAACACAGCCUGUCUCUGUCUC